GCUGGGUAUGGUGGUGCAGACCUGUAAUCCCAGCAAUUUGGGAGGCUGAGAUAGGAGGACCGCAAGUUCAGGGGUAUUCAACCACUGAGCCACAUCCCCAGUACUAUUUUGGAUUUUAUUU
This 121-nucleotide small RNA is filed under the name Marmota monax (woodchuck). The record is from RNAcentral. Lineage: Eukaryota; Metazoa; Chordata; Mammalia; Rodentia; Sciuridae.